RNAcentral lists this ribosomal RNA (522 nucleotides) under uncultured fungus. RNAcentral describes it as "eukaryotic LSU rRNA". The stretch from base 166 to 319 matches the Rfam family "5.8S ribosomal RNA". Lineage: Eukaryota; Fungi. The record is from RNAcentral.
UCCGUAGGUGAACCUGCGGAAGGAUCAUUAUCGUGGGGCUUCGGCCCCGUCGAGAUAGAACCCUUGCCUUUUGAGUACCGUCCGUUUCCUCGGCAGGUCCGCCUGCCAGGACACAAAACAAACCCUUUUUUACCUGUAACAGUCUGAAAAACAAACAAAAAUUAAAACUUUCAACAACGGAUCUCUUGGUUCUGGCAUCGAUGAAGAACGCAGCGAAAUGCGAUAAGUAGUGUGAAUUGCAGAAUUCAGUGAAUCAUCGAAUCUUUGAACGCACAUUGCGCCCUUUGGUAUUCCUUAGGGCAUGCCUGUUCGAGCGUCAUUUAACACCUUCAAGCUCCGCUUGGUGUUGGGUGACUGUCCGCUGCCCUCGGUGCGGACUCGCCUCAAAAUCAUUGGCGGCCCUCACGUCGGCUUCGAGCGCAAGCAGAAACGCGAACUCGUGGCCGGCGGAGCGGCUCCAGAAGCCUAUCUCUCACCAGUUUUGACCUGCGGAUCCAGGUAGGGAUACCCUGCUGAACUUAA